AUGGGACGCUCUAAUUCUGACAUGGUGUGAAGAGCCUAUUGAGCUAGCUGGUAGUCCUCCGGCCCCUGAAUGCGGCUAAUCCUAACUGCGGAGCACAUGCUCACGAACCAGUGGGUGGUGUGUCGUAACGGGCAACUCUGCAGCGGAACCGACUACUUUGGGUGUCCGUGUUUCCUUUUAUUCUUAUAUUGGCUGCUUAUGGUGACAAUCAAAGAGUUGUUACCAUAUAGCUAUUGGAUUGGCCAUCCGGUG
Trichinella murrelli is the source of this 252-nucleotide regulatory RNA element. It matches the Rfam family "Picornavirus internal ribosome entry site (IRES)". Rfam says of the family: IRES elements allow cap and end-independent translation of mRNA in the host cell. The record is from Rfam. NCBI's taxonomy places the organism in Eukaryota, Metazoa, Nematoda, Enoplea, Trichinellida, Trichinellidae.